RNAcentral lists this long non-coding RNA (203 nucleotides) under Astyanax mexicanus (Mexican tetra). RNAcentral describes it as "lncRNA (ENSAMXG00005009963.1)". Lineage: Eukaryota; Metazoa; Chordata; Actinopteri; Characiformes; Acestrorhamphidae. The record is from RNAcentral.
CUGAAUCUGGAAUCUGCAGCGGCUCUGUGGAAGCUGCACUGUUACUGCCUGACACGAGUCUGUAGCUGCUCUUUAGAGGCCUUAAGGGCAGGAUGUGAUGGAAGGGAGCCACUACUACCUGCCAUUAUAGUCCAGUCGCUCUUCUGCUCCAAAGUCCACAAGACUGUGUGCAGGUCAGCCGGUUCACAGAAACAGACUGAUCU